GCCUUUAGGAAACUUCAGGGCACAAAGACCAGGAAUCACAUGUCCAGGUCAUCAUGUCCAUCUGCUUGAAGCUGCGGAUUAAGAAGCAGGUAAUGGAUGGCUUUGCAGGGCCAAGUUCAAGUUCCCUGGACACCAGCAGAUCCCUAUCUCAAAGAACUCUGACAUCACCAAGUUUAAUGCAGAUGCAUUUGAAGACACAGUAACUGAGAAGUCGCCCAUCCUCUAUGGCAGUGGAGUCAAACACAUCCUUAACUGGGGUCUCCUGGACAAGUGGUGGGUCCUACACUCCUAA
This 292-nucleotide long non-coding RNA is filed under the name Mus musculus (house mouse). RNAcentral's name for it is "long non-coding RNA chr4:101341356-101341648". Lineage: Eukaryota; Metazoa; Chordata; Mammalia; Rodentia; Muridae. The record is from RNAcentral.